UACGGAGGGGGCUAGCGUUGUUCGGAAUUACUGGGCGUAAAGCGCUCGUAGGCGGCUUUGUAAGUUAGAGGUGAAAGCCCGGAGCUCAACUCCGGAAUUGCCUUUAAGACUGCAUCGCUAGAAUCAUGGAGAGGUGAGUGGAAUUCCGAGUGUAGAGGUGAAAUUCGUAGAUAUUCGGAAGAACACCAGUGGCGAAGGCGACUCACUGGACAUGUAUUGACGCUGAGGUGCGAAAGCGUGGGGAGCAAACAGG
This 253-nucleotide ribosomal RNA is filed under the name uncultured bacterium. RNAcentral's name for it is "partial 16S ribosomal RNA". It matches the Rfam family "Bacterial small subunit ribosomal RNA", at positions 524 to 776 of the family's 1533-position model. The record is from RNAcentral.